This 260-nucleotide ribosomal RNA is filed under the name Clostridia bacterium. RNAcentral describes it as "partial 23S ribosomal RNA". It matches the Rfam family "Bacterial large subunit ribosomal RNA", at positions 2667 to 2925 of the family's 2925-position model. The record is from RNAcentral. Lineage: Bacteria; Bacillati; Bacillota; Clostridia.
AGGGUCUGUCCUUAGUACGAGAGGACCGGGACGGACGUACCUCUGGUGCACCAGUUGUUCCGCCAGGAGCACAGCUGGGUAGCCAUGUACGGUUUAGAUAAACGCUGAAAGCAUCUAAGCGUGAAACUAGCCUCAAGAUAAGAUAUCCCAUCCCUUCAAGGGAGUAAGGUCACUUGCAGACUACAAGUUUGAUAGGUCGGAGGUGUAAGCACAGUAAUGUGUUCAGCUGACCGAUACUAAUAGACCGAGGGCUUGAACUU